AAAAAUAAAAUUUAAAUAUGAAGUAAAAAAACACCUAAUGAGUAAACUCAGGGCAAUGUCAGAUUCAGAUUUUAUAUUUUAUUAGAUUAUUUUUAUAUGAAUAAGUUAUGCUGUGUAUCAUGGAUACUAUUAUUGCUGUAAAAUUGAUUGAAAAUUGAUUCAUUUUAUUAUCAAGACUAAAAGGACCCCAUUGGAUAUAAGCUUGUAUGCUUUCAUGGGUUAUCCUUGGGU
This 231-nucleotide long non-coding RNA is filed under the name Mytilus galloprovincialis (Mediterranean mussel). Lineage: Eukaryota; Metazoa; Mollusca; Bivalvia; Mytilida; Mytilidae. The record is from RNAcentral.